RNAcentral lists this long non-coding RNA (749 nucleotides) under Brassica rapa (field mustard). RNAcentral's name for it is "long non-coding RNA (BRAP_LNC007722)". Lineage: Eukaryota; Viridiplantae; Streptophyta; Magnoliopsida; Brassicales; Brassicaceae. The record is from RNAcentral.
CGUUCGGAAGACAAGUAAUUGAUUGCAUAACAAACGAUUUAUAAACUAAUAUAUCAUCAGUCAUUCAAUUAUGAAGCAUUAAGCAUAAAGUUACUUAUCUCUCCAGAUGGUUUGGUGAAUGAGAAUAUGUUACGAAGGAAAGUCAUCGGUUCGACGGAGAUCAACGUACGACUCUCGGCUUCUUUUUUUUUUUUUUUUUUUUUUUUUCAUCGACAUGAUUAGGGAUUGGGCUUAUUUAUGUAGUAGCCAUAUUUCUCUACAAUAAUUUUUACAAAAACAACGAUGACAUGACUAAUAAGAUUGAUGACAUGGCUUAUAGUUAAUAUGACAUGAACAAUCACAUUUAUUACUGAUAUAUAUUUUUGGUAAACUUUAUAAAAUAUGACAAUAACUAAUACAUUACAUUUAAGGUUGAUUUAUAUUUUUGGUAAACUUCUUAAAAUAUGGUAUUAAUUCAUAAAUCAUUACUAAAAUAAAUAUAUUGAAAUAUGCAUUAUAAAUUUCGAAAUCCAUUAUUUAAUUGUAUUUUUAUAAUUAUACAAUUUUUAUUACUAAUAUUUUCAAAAUUUUCUAAAUCUUUUUAAAAAUAUUAAUAAAUUGUUAAUUGUAAUUUCAUUAGUUUCUUUUAGAUAUCUACAAAUUUUAUAAAUAUUAUUUAGUUAUAAUUUUUAAUAACUAUACAAUUUUUAUAUGAUUUUAAGUAAUUUUAUACAAGUUGAUUUACAACAUUUAACCAAAAUAAAUAGAUA